RNAcentral lists this ribosomal RNA (580 nucleotides) under Pyramimonas sp. MNURFJ07. RNAcentral describes it as "SSU rRNA". It matches the Rfam family "Eukaryotic small subunit ribosomal RNA", at positions 575 to 1159 of the family's 1831-position model. RNAcentral also lists the same sequence under 1 other name. The record is from RNAcentral. Lineage: Eukaryota; Viridiplantae; Chlorophyta; Pyramimonadophyceae; Pyramimonadales; Pyramimonadaceae.
CGCGGUAAUUCCAGCUCCAAUAGCGUAUAUUUAAGUUGUUGCAGUUAAAAAGCUCGUAGUUGGAUUUCGGAUGGGUGCAACCGGUCCGCCGUUGCGGUGUGCACUGGUCGCGCCCAUCUUGCUGACGGGGACGCGCUCCUGGCCUUAACUGGCUGGGACGCGGAGUCGUCGAUGUUACUUUGAAAAAAUUAGAGUGUUCAAAGCAGGCCUAAGCUCUGAAUACAUUAGCAUGGAAUAACGCUAUAGGACUCUGGUCUUAUUGUGUUGGUCUUCGAGACCGGAGUAAUGAUUAAGAGGGACAGUUGGGGGCAUUCGUAUUUCAUUGUCAGAGGUGAAAUUCUUGGAUUUAUGAAAGACGAACUUCUGCGAAAGCAUUUGCCAAGGAUGUUUUCAUUAAUCAAGAACGAAAGUUGGGGGCUCGAAGACGAUCAGAUACCGUCCUAGUCUCAACCAUAAACGAUGCCGACUAGGGAUUGGCGGAUGUUAAUUCGAUGACUUCGCCAGCACCUUAUGAGAAAUCAAAGUUUUUGGGUUCCGGGGGGAGUAUGGUCGCAAGGCUGAAACUUAAAGGAAUUGACGG